CUCAAAGGCAUUCUCAGAAAAGCUUCCUGCAAGCAAAUACCUAUCUUUCUCUGCUUCCCAAUGAGACAAACCUGUACCAGCUGGGGCCCAGAGAUUCCAAGGGAGGGGAACCUGAAUGGGAUUUGGGAACUGCAUCACACCAAUCUUGGCUAUCACUACAUAUUCUGGCACUGUUGACAAUGGGACAGAAAAGCAAUAUAUGAGGUCAACAGCCAUUCCCUUGCAAUCAGGAGACAGGGGAAGAAGAGAAAGGAACCUCGCCCUUCCACCUUUUUAAAUUCUGUGUUUCAUUUUAUUUAUCUUAUAAUAAUAUUCUACAGUGAAAAAUCUCCUAAGUCUUGUUCUGGAGCCUGCACAAUGGUCUCCACUUUCUCCUACCUGUCCAGGAGAGCCCGUAAUUAGUACUUAAUUAUAGUCUAUAUGACCAUUUUGGCCAGGAAGAAAAGAGCAGC
RNAcentral lists this long non-coding RNA (452 nucleotides) under Fukomys damarensis (Damara mole-rat). RNAcentral's name for it is "lncRNA (ENSFDAG00000032843.1)". Lineage: Eukaryota; Metazoa; Chordata; Mammalia; Rodentia; Bathyergidae. The record is from RNAcentral.